AGAGUGGAGCAGAAUGGGCCCCGAGCACACACAGCUGUGACAGGUUCACCUGCACAUACAUUGGUGGAGAAUAUAUUACUACUAACUACAAGAUCCAGUGUCCUCCAUUCAACAUCGACAACUGCCAGCCUGGCACAGUGCAGCUUUCUGCUGAUGGCUGCUGCCAAGUUUGUGUGGAGAAGGAGAAGGGAUGUAAAGUAGAGACUAUUUCUGAUUACAUCAUUCAUGACAGCUGUCAGUCAGAGACCCAAGUGGAACAGACACACUGUGCAGGAGAUUGCAACAGCUACAGCAAGUACUCUGAGCUGGGCUCUUCGUCCUGUAGCUGCUGUCAGGCAGCUCGCACCAGUAACAGAACAGUGACCCUGAAAUGUCUAAAUGGAGAUACAGUACCACACACCUACGUCUAUGUGGAAGAAUGCAGCUGUAGCCAGACUAAGUGUCACAUAAGCAAGUAGGACACACAUACAUAAAUAUAAGAUACAUCCACCGGAGACACAGCUACAAACUACACUGAGAAUCCGCUGUUCAUCAUAGAAACAAUCCUAACCCUAACCAAAGCCCCCAGCUAUGAUCACAAUGCUUUGAAUUUCUCUCUCCAAAAAUUCAUCUGAUUUGAUUAUUUUCAUAGGUGUCUUUGAUGGAGUAGAAUGACUUGCUUUUAUUCCUUUAUGCUUAUAACUGAAACUUUUAAAUAAAAUGCAAUAUGAAAAAUA
Molecule: long non-coding RNA, 716 nt
Organism: Colossoma macropomum (tambaqui)
Lineage: Eukaryota; Metazoa; Chordata; Actinopteri; Characiformes; Serrasalmidae
Exons: 4
Source: RefSeq, a predicted model, not a curated record